UAUAGCAACAUGGAUGGAACUGGAGGUGAUUAUGUUAAGUGAAAUCAGCCAGGCACAGAAAGACAUAUAUUGCAUAUUCUCAUAUUUGGGAGCUAAAAAGUUGAUCAUGUGGAACUAGACAGCAGAAUGAUAGACAUCAGAGACUGACAGGAUAUGUGGGUAGGAGGAGGAAUGAAGAGAGGUUGGUUAAUGGGUAUGAACAUAUAGUUAGAUAGAAGAAAUAAGUUCUGAUGUUCAAUAGCAGAGUAGGGUGGCUAUAGUUAACAACAAUGUAUUGUAUAUUUCAAAACAGCCAAAAUAGAGGACUUGAAAUGUACCCAACACUUAAAAUACACAACAUAAAUUACAGAUAUAA
Cebus imitator (Panamanian white-faced capuchin) is the source of this 355-nucleotide long non-coding RNA. RefSeq lists it as uncharacterized. NCBI's taxonomy places the organism in Eukaryota, Metazoa, Chordata, Mammalia, Primates, Cebidae. The record is from RefSeq and is a predicted model, not a curated record. The transcript has 3 exons.